CCCUUAGAUGUUCUGGGCCGCACGCGCGCUACACUGUUUGAUUCAGCGAGUCUUAACCUUGACCGAAAGGUUUGGGUAAUCUUCUAAAGUCAAACGUGAUGGGGAUCGAUCAUUGCAAUUAUUGAUCGUGAACGAGGAAUUCCUAGUAAAUGCAAGUCAUCAGCUUGCGUUGAUUACGUCCCUGCCCUUUGUACACACCGCCCGUCGCUCCUACCGAUUGAAUGCUCAGGUGAGCCAUUCGGACUUUCAUCAUGCUGGUUUCCAGUUUUGAUGAAGGAAAGUCUUGCGAACCUUAUCAUUUAGAGGAAGGAGAAGUCGUAACA
This 323-nucleotide ribosomal RNA is filed under the name uncultured eukaryote. RNAcentral's name for it is "partial 18S ribosomal RNA". It matches the Rfam family "Eukaryotic small subunit ribosomal RNA", at positions 1470 to 1796 of the family's 1831-position model. The record is from RNAcentral.